UAUGAGGGUCAUCCUAGUGAAACCAAACAACUCCAAAAAUUAAGAAUUAUCAUUCUGAAGAAUGUCAUCCCAAAGAUUUACCUAACCAAACACCCCCUUAAAGGUUCAGGGUUCAGGGUUUCGGGUUUCAUUUAUAGGGUUUAGACGGUCGUUUAUGAUUUUGAUUACUCACCAUUUUAAUGUACAUUACGCUUAAAUAAACUAAUGAUGACAAGAUUAUGUUCUCAAUUUUAAUUUUAAUAGUGUACAUUUUUUUUAAGAUUUUUCUCUUCUUUUUUUUUUUUUUUUUUAAUUUAAUAAAAUAAUAUAUUUUACUUAUAUAUAUAUAUAAUAUAAUGUAGUGAUAGAUAUAUACUCCCCCAUAAGAAACACGCGGUUCACUAUAUAUACAUAAUAUAAAUCUAUAUGUAUGUGUGUGUUUGUGUGUAUAUAUAUAUAUAUAUAUAUAUACAGGGGGUUUGGACCUAGGAUUUUCAAUUUUUCAUAUGUUUCUCCUCACAAUUAUAUGCUCAUAUCUUAUAAACUUCGAUUGACAUGAUAUCAGUAUCAUUGAAUCCUGCUUGAAAAAUUAAGUGGUUUAGACUUAACAUUUUCAAUUUUUCAUAGUUUGAAUCAUUUGUUAAUAUACAUUAGUUUAUGGAAGGGUUUAGGGGUUUAGGGUAUUGUUUAUUGAGUUUGUCUUGUCGAUUCUUAUGAUUUCGAUUAUAUAUAUAAGUGCAUGUACUCAUGCUUGGAGAUUAAUAUUUUUUAAGAUAACAAUACCAUUUACUUAAAAUAAAUUUAUUUUCAAAAUGAUGGAUUUCAGUUUAAAAUUAAAGUCGUUGCCAAGGCCAAUUUUGUAUAUAAUAUUUUUUUUAGAUUUUAAAAAAAUAUUUCCAUAUAUUUGUAGACACCAAAUUUUGGCCUACUCCGAUCCCGCACCAUUAAAAAAUGGGGCCUUUCAAGUAAAUAAAAAAAAUAUACAAAACAAAACAAAACAAAACAGAAAUGAGUGACACGUUUAAGAAAACAAAAAAAGAAAGAAGGGGGAGAGAGAGAGAGAGAGGGGGGGGGAGAUCCUCCAUCAAGGUCCCACACUUAGAAAACCCCAGUGACCGAAACCCCUCUGGUUUCUUAACCAUCUUCAGCGAAACCGAAGAAGAGAGAUGAUGGCGGCUCAAGGAAAGAGAAGAUUUCAAGCUUGUAGGAAGAGCAAGCCCGAAUGUUGAAAGAGAAAUUCAAUGUCAGCAAGAAUCAGCUUCAAGCUCUGGCUUCUUUAUUCUCCAAGUCUGAUCCGAGGUAGAAUGGAAUUAUCUUCUAGCUGAUGAAGAUAUUGGAGGCCAGAAAUGUUCAAAAGCCACAGAGCUGGGUACUGCGUUUUUAACUGAGGAUGGGCUGUUUGAUAUAAUCCGUUCAUCGAAACGUGCAAAGACUCCUGCACAGGAAGAAUUCAAAAAGAAACAUGCAAAUAAGUCUGUUGGAUCACCACCAAAGGGAAGUCCUCAAAAAGAAGUAUAGAGUAUGCUUAGAAUAACACUGAAAUUUUGCUUUUGUUUUACUGCUUUAAGAAUUCAGAAAUAUCAUUGGCUGCUUGCCCACA
Long non-coding RNA from Macadamia integrifolia, 1579 nucleotides. RefSeq lists it as uncharacterized. The record is from RefSeq and is a predicted model, not a curated record. The transcript has 2 exons. Lineage: Eukaryota; Viridiplantae; Streptophyta; Magnoliopsida; Proteales; Proteaceae.